GCCUGGGUGGCUCAGUCGGUUGAGCAUCCGACUUCGGCUCAGGUCAUGAUCUCACGGUUCGUGGGUUCGAGCCCCGUGUCGGGCU
This 85-nucleotide transfer RNA is filed under the name Crocuta crocuta (spotted hyena). It matches the Rfam family "tRNA". Rfam says of the family: Transfer RNA (tRNA) molecules are approximately 80 nucleotides in length. Their secondary structure includes four short double-helical elements and three loops (D, anti-codon, and T loops). Further hydrogen bonds mediate the characteristic L-shaped molecular structure. tRNAs have two regions of fundamental functional importance: the anti-codon, which is responsible for specific mRNA codon recognition, and the 3' end, to which the tRNAs corresponding amino acid is attached (by aminoacyl-tRNA synthetases). tRNAs cope with the degeneracy of the genetic code in two manners: having more than one tRNA (with a specific anti-codon) for a particular amino acid; and 'wobble' base-pairing, i.e. permitting non-standard base-pairing at the 3rd anti-codon position. The record is from Rfam by way of RNAcentral. Lineage: Eukaryota; Metazoa; Chordata; Mammalia; Carnivora; Hyaenidae. RNAcentral also lists the same sequence under 2 other names.